This 61-nucleotide transfer RNA is filed under the name Urocitellus parryii (Arctic ground squirrel). Its description in RNAcentral is "Spermophilus parryii (Arctic ground squirrel) tRNA". It matches the Rfam family "tRNA", at positions 6 to 65 of the family's 71-position model. Rfam says of the family: Transfer RNA (tRNA) molecules are approximately 80 nucleotides in length. Their secondary structure includes four short double-helical elements and three loops (D, anti-codon, and T loops). The record is from Rfam by way of RNAcentral. Lineage: Eukaryota; Metazoa; Chordata; Mammalia; Rodentia; Sciuridae. RNAcentral also lists the same sequence under 2 other names.
UGUGGUUCAGUGGUAGAGCAUCUGCCUGGCAUGCUUGAAGCCCUGGGUUUGAACCCCAGCA